GCAGAAGAGGACAGUGGAACUCCAUGUGUAGCGGUGAAAUGCGUAGAUAUAUGGAAGAACACCAGUGGCGAAGGCGGCUGUCUGGUCUGUAACUGACGCUGAGGCUCGAAAGUAUGGGUAGCAAACAGGAUUAGAUACCCUGGUAGUCCAUACCGUAAACGAUGAAUGCUAAGUGUUGGAGGGUUUCCGCCCUUCAGUGCUGCAGCUAACGCAUUAAGCAUUCCGCCUGGGGAGUACGGCCGCAAGGCUGAAACUCAAAGGAAUUGACGGGGGCCCGCACAAGCGGUGGAGCAUGUGGUUUAAUUCGAAGCAACGCGAAGAACCUUACCAGGUCUUGACAUCCCUUGACAACUCCAGAGAUGGAGCGUUCCCUUCGGGGACAAGGUGACAGGUGGUGCAUGGUUGUCGUCAGCUCGUGUCGUGAGAUGUUGGGUUAAGUCCCGCAACGAGCGCAACCCUUAUUACUAGUUGCCAGCAUUUAGUUGGGCACUCUAGUGAGACUGCCGGUGACAAACCGGAGGAAGGUGGGGAUGACGUCAAAUCAUCAUGCCCCUUAUGACCUGGGCUACACACGUGCUACAAUGGCGUAUACAACGAGUUGCCAACCCGCGAGGGUGGGCUAAUCUCUUAAAGUACGUCUCAGUUCGGAUUGUAGGCUGCAACUCGCCUACAUGAAGUCGGAAUCGCUAGUAAUCGCGGAUCAGCACGCCGCGGUGAAUACGUUCCCGGGUCUUGUACACACCGCCCGUCACACCAUGAGAGUUUGUAACACCCAAAGCCGGUGGGGUAACCUUCGGGAGCCAGCCGUCUAAGGUGGGACAAAUGAUUAGGGUGAAGUCGUAAACAAGGUAGCCGUA
This 857-nucleotide ribosomal RNA is filed under the name uncultured bacterium. Its description in RNAcentral is "bacterial SSU rRNA". It matches the Rfam family "Bacterial small subunit ribosomal RNA", at positions 648 to 1504 of the family's 1533-position model. The record is from RNAcentral.